GGAAGUAAAAAAAUCGUAACAAGGUCUCCGUKGGUKAACCAGCGGAGGGAUCAUUACAGAGUUAUCCAACUCCCAAACCCAUGUGAACUUAUCUCUUUGUUGCCUCGGCGCAAGCUACCCGGGACCUCGCGCCCCGGGCGGCCCGCCGGCGGACAAACCAAAACUCUUGUUAUCUUAGUUGAUUAUCUGAGUGUCUUAUUUAAUAAGUCAAAACUUUCAACAACGGAUCUCUUGGUUCUGGCAUCGAUGAAGAACGCAGCGAAAUGCGAUAAGUAAUGUGAAUUGCAGAAUUCAGUGAAUCAUCGAAUCUUUGAACGCACAUUGCGCCCAUUAGUAUUCUAGUGGGCAUGCCUGUUCGAGCGUCAUUUCAACCCCUAAGCACAGCUUAUUGUUGGGAACCUACGGCUUCGUAGUUCCUCAAAGACAUUGGCGGAGUGGCAGUGGUCCUCUGAGCGUAGUAAUCUUUUAUCUCGCUUCUGUUAGGUGCUGCCCCCCCGGCCGUAAAACCCCCAAAUUUUUCUGGUUGACCUCGGAUCAGGUAGGAAURCCCGCWGWACUUAAGCAUAUCAAUAAGCGGAGGAAAUAC
Molecule: ribosomal RNA, 586 nt
Filed under: Nigrospora sphaerica
Lineage: Eukaryota; Fungi; Ascomycota; Sordariomycetes; Amphisphaeriales; Apiosporaceae
Description: eukaryotic LSU rRNA
Rfam family: 5.8S ribosomal RNA (bases 212-365)
Source: RNAcentral